CUUGAAACCAAUAUAUGAGGGUUCGAUUCCUUCCUUUCUUG
This 41-nucleotide transfer RNA is filed under the name Strigops habroptila (Kakapo). Its description in RNAcentral is "partial tRNA-Ser". Lineage: Eukaryota; Metazoa; Chordata; Aves; Psittaciformes; Psittacidae. The record is from RNAcentral.